GAGGGCAUAGCUUAGUUGUAGAGUGCAUGCUUAGCAUGUACACAGUCCUGGGUUCAAUCCCCAGUACCUUCA
RNAcentral lists this transfer RNA (72 nucleotides) under Camelus bactrianus (Bactrian camel). It matches the Rfam family "tRNA". Rfam says of the family: Transfer RNA (tRNA) molecules are approximately 80 nucleotides in length. The record is from Rfam by way of RNAcentral. RNAcentral also lists the same sequence under 2 other names. Lineage: Eukaryota; Metazoa; Chordata; Mammalia; Artiodactyla; Camelidae.